This 427-nucleotide ribosomal RNA is filed under the name uncultured bacterium. Its description in RNAcentral is "partial 16S ribosomal RNA". It matches the Rfam family "Bacterial small subunit ribosomal RNA", at positions 355 to 774 of the family's 1533-position model. The record is from RNAcentral.
UGGGGAAUAUUGCACAAUGGGCGCAAGCCUGAUGCAGCCAUGCCGCGUGUAUGAAGAAGGCCUUCGGGUUGUAAAGUACUUUCAGCGGGGAGGAAGGCGAUAAGGUUAAUUACCUUGUCGAUUGACGUUACCCGCAGAAGAAGCACCGGCUAACUCCGUGCCAGCAGCCGCGGUAAUACGGAGGGUGCAAGCGUUAAUCGGAAUUACUGGGCGUAAAGCGCACGCAGGCGGUCUGUCAAGUCGGAUGUGAAAUCCCCGGGCUCAACCUGGGAACUGCAUUCGAAACUGGCAGGCUAGAGUCUUGUAGAGGGGGGUAGAAUUCCAGGUGUAGCGGUGAAAUGCGUAGAGAUCUGGAGGAAUACCGGUGGCGAAGGCGGCCCCCUGGACAAAGACUGACGCUCAGGUGCGAAAGCGUGGGGAGCAAACA